This 324-nucleotide unclassified non-coding RNA is filed under the name soil metagenome. RNAcentral's name for it is "partial contains 5.8S ribosomal RNA, internal transcribed spacer 2, and large subunit ribosomal RNA". The stretch from base 1 to 120 matches the Rfam family "5.8S ribosomal RNA", at positions 35 to 154 of the family's 154-position model. The record is from RNAcentral.
GAUGAAGAACGCAGCGAAAUGCGAUAAGUAAUGCGAAUUGCAGAAUUCAGUGAGUCAUCGAAUCUUUGAACGCACAUUGCGCCCUGUGGUAUUCCGCAGGGCAUGCCUGUUCGAGCGUCAUUUCAACCCUCAAGCCUCGCUUGGUGUUGGGCCCUGCCCGCCGCGGCCGGCCCUAAAGAUAGUGGCGGCGCCGCCUGGCCCUCAGCGUAGUACAGCUCUCGCUCCAGGGUCCGGCGGCAGCCUGCCAGAACCCCCCAACUCUGUGGCUGACCUCGGAUCAGGUAGGGAUACCCGCUGAACUUAAGCAUAUCAAUAAGCGGAGGA